GCACCGCAACGGGAGGAUGCGUGAGGUUUAAUUGGAGUCAACGCCGGGAACCUUACCGGGAGCGACAGCAGAGUGAAGGCCAGGCUGAAGGUCUUGCCAGACGAGCUGAGAGGAGGUGCAUGGCCGUCGCCAGUUCGUGCCGUGAGGUGUCCUCUUAAGUGAGGUAACGAACGAGACCCGCGCCCCAUGUUGCCAGCAAAUCCUAAAGGGAUGUUGGGCACUCUUGGGGGACCGCAGCCGACAAGGCUGAGGAAGGUGCGGGCAACGGCAGGUCAGUAUGCCCCGAAUCUCCCGGGCCACACGCGGGCUGCAAUGGUAGUGACAGAGGGCUGCCACCUCGAGAGGGGAAGCCAAUCCCUAAACACUACCUCAGUUGGGAUCGAGGGCUGCAACCCGUCCUCGUGAAUAUGGAAUGCCUAGUAAUCGCGCGUCAUCAUCGCGCGGUGAAUACGUCCCCGCUCCUUGCACACACCGCCCGUCGUUCCAUCCGAGUGGGGUUUGGGUGAGGCGUAGUCCUUGGUGGCUGCGUCGAACUCAGGUUCCGCAAGGAGGGAA
This 555-nucleotide ribosomal RNA is filed under the name uncultured archaeon. RNAcentral describes it as "bacterial SSU rRNA". It matches the Rfam family "Archaeal small subunit ribosomal RNA", at positions 876 to 1429 of the family's 1478-position model. The record is from RNAcentral.